AAGACAUUCUGUAAUUUACAAAGCAGAUUUAUGUGCUCCAAGAGCAUAAUUCUGAAAAUUUUUCAGUGUAUGAUUCAGUUUUCCAUUCCUUCUUUAGGUGAAACCCUGCUGAAAUUAACAUGUUGACUGAUGAUAUGACUAGGUGGAGCAAGUGGCUGAACGUAUUUCAAGCAUUUCGGCGGCAGGGAGAGUGUUGUUGUUUUUUGCAACUACAAAAAUAAAAUACAUACACAAAAUAAAAAUAUGUCAACACA
This is a long non-coding RNA of Passer domesticus (house sparrow), 254 nucleotides long. RefSeq lists it as uncharacterized. The transcript is spliced from 2 exons. The record is from RefSeq and is a predicted model, not a curated record. NCBI's taxonomy places the organism in Eukaryota, Metazoa, Chordata, Aves, Passeriformes, Passeridae.